AAUAGAUACCCAGGUAGUCCACGCCGUAAACGAUGAGUGCUAAGUGUUAGAGGGUUUCCGCCCUUUAGUGCUGAAGUUAACGCAUUAAGCACUCCGCCUGGGGAGUACGGCCGCAAGGCUGAAACUCAAAGGAAUUGACGGGGGCCCGCACAAGCGGUGGAGCAUGUGGUUUAAUUCGAAGCAACGCGAAGAACCUUACCAGGUCUUGACAUCCUCUGACAACCCUAGAGAUAGGGCCUCUCCUUCGGGAGCAGAGUGACAGGUGGUGCAUGGUUGUCGUCAGCUCGUGUCGUGAGAUGUUGGGUUAAGUCCCGCAACGAGCGCAACCCUUGAUCUUAGUUGCCAUCAUUAAGUUGGGCACUCUAAGGUGACUGCCGGUGACAAACCGGAGGAAGGUGGGGAUGACGUCAAAUCAUCAUGCCCCUUAUGACCUGGGCUACACACGUGCUACAAUGGACGGUACAAAGAGCUGCAAGACCGCGAGGUGGAGCUAAUCUCAUAAAACCCGUUCUCAGUUCGGA
RNAcentral lists this ribosomal RNA (521 nucleotides) under uncultured bacterium. RNAcentral describes it as "bacterial SSU rRNA". It matches the Rfam family "Bacterial small subunit ribosomal RNA", at positions 777 to 1297 of the family's 1533-position model. The record is from RNAcentral.